This 247-nucleotide ribosomal RNA is filed under the name uncultured bacterium. RNAcentral describes it as "partial 16S ribosomal RNA". It matches the Rfam family "Bacterial small subunit ribosomal RNA", at positions 523 to 769 of the family's 1533-position model. The record is from RNAcentral.
AUACGGAGGGUGCGAGCGUUGUUCGGAAUUAUUGGGCGUAAAGCGAGCGCAGGCGGUUCCUUAAGUCUGAUGUGAAAGCCCCGGGCUCAACCUGGGAAGUGCAUUGGAUACUGGCAGACUUGAAUACGGGAGAGGGCAGUGGAAUUCCUGGUGUAGGAGUGAAAUCCGUAGAUAUCAGGAGGAACACCGGUGGCGAAGGCGGCUGCCUGGACCGAUAUUGACGCUGAGACGCGAAAGCGUGGGUAGC